RNAcentral lists this ribosomal RNA (244 nucleotides) under Fusarium oxysporum f. sp. medicaginis. Its description in RNAcentral is "partial 28S ribosomal RNA". It matches the Rfam family "Eukaryotic large subunit ribosomal RNA", at positions 3162 to 3401 of the family's 3401-position model. Lineage: Eukaryota; Fungi; Ascomycota; Sordariomycetes; Hypocreales; Nectriaceae. The record is from RNAcentral.
ACCCGCACGUAUAGAUGGACAAGAAUAGGCUUCGGCUUAGCGUCUUAGCAGGCGAUUCUUCCACGGCGCUCGAAGCGCGUCGUGGUAUUUCGCGUAUUGUAAUUUCAACACGAGCGGGGUCAAAUCCUUUGCAGACGACUUAGCUGUGCGAAACGGUCCUGUAAGCAGUAGAGUAGCCUUGUUGUUACGAUCUGCUGAGGGUAAGCCGUCCUUCGCCUCGAUUUCCCCAAUGGGUUCUCCGGAU